This 393-nucleotide ribosomal RNA is filed under the name uncultured Methanosaeta sp. RNAcentral's name for it is "bacterial SSU rRNA". It matches the Rfam family "Archaeal small subunit ribosomal RNA", at positions 946 to 1338 of the family's 1478-position model. Lineage: Archaea; Methanobacteriati; Methanobacteriota; Methanomicrobia; Methanotrichales; Methanotrichaceae. The record is from RNAcentral.
UAUGAAGGUCAGGCUGAAGACCUUACCCGAUUAGCUGAGAGGUGGUGCAUGGCCGUCGUCAGUUCGUACUGUGAAGCAUCCUGUUAAGUCAGGCAACGAGCGAGACCCACGUCCACAGUUGCCAGCAUACCCUCCGGGGUGAUGGGUACACUGUGGAGACCGCCGCUGCUAAAGCGGAGGAAGGAGUGGGCAACGGUAGGUCAGUAUGCCCCGAAUCUCCCGGGCUACACGCGGGCUACAAUGGUUGGUACAAUGGGCAUCUACCCCGAAAGGGGAAGGAAAUCUCUUAAAGCCAAUCGUAGUUCGGAUUGAGGGCUGCAACUCGCCCUCAUGAAGCUGGAAUCCGUAGUAAUCGCGUUUCAACAGAACGCGGUGAAUACGUCUCUGCUCCUU